GAGAUGAAUGGAAAGGAGCUCAAUGGAAAACAAAUUUACGUUGGUCGAGCUCAGAAAAAAGUGGAACGGCAGACGGAACUUAAGCGCAAAUUUGAACAGAUGAAGCAAGAUAGGAUCACCAGAUACCAGGGUGUUAACCUUUAUGUGAAAAAUCUUGAUAAUGGUAUUGAUGAUGAACGUCUCCGGAAAGAGUUUUCUCCUUUUGGUACAAUCACUGGUGCAAAGGUUAUGAUGGAGGGUGGUCGCAGCAAAGGGUUUGGUUUUGUAUGUUUCUCCUCCCCAGAAGAAGCCACAAAAGCAGUUACAGAAAUGAAUGGUAGAAUUGUGGCCACCAAGCCAUUGUAUGUAGCUUUAGCUCAGCGCAAAGAAGAGCGCCAGGCUCACCUCACUAACCAGUAUAUGCAGAGAAUGGCAAGGGUAAGAGCUGUGCCCAGUCCUGUAAUCAACCCCUACCAGCCAGCACCUCUUUCAGAUUACUUCAUGGCAGCUAUCCGACAGACUCAGAACCGUGCUGCAUGCUAUCCUCCUAGCCAAAUUGCUCAACUAAGACCAAGUCCUCGCUGGACUGCUCAGGGUGCCAGACCUCACCCAUUCCAAAAUAUGCCCAGUGCUAUCCGCCCAGCCGCUCCUAGACCACCAUUUAGUACCAUGAGACCAGCUUCUUCACAGGUUUCAUGAGUCAUGUCGACACAGCGUGUUGCUAACACAUCAACACAGACGCUGGGGCCACGUCCUGCGGCGGCACCUGCUGUCCGCACCGUUCCACAGAAUAAGUACGCUGCGGGGGUUCGCAAUCCUCAACAGCAUCUUAAUGCGCAGCCACGAGUUACCGUGCAGCAGCCUGCUGUUCAUGUACAAGGUCAGGAGCCUUUGACUGCUUUCACGUUGGCAUCUGCCCCUCCUCAAGAGCAAAAGCAAAUGUUGGGUGAACGGCUCUUUCCUCUAAUUCAAGCCAUGCACCCUACUCUUGCUGGUAAAAUCACUGGCAUGUUGUUGGAGAAUGGUAAUUCAGAACUUCUUCAUAUGUUUGAGUCUCCAGAGUCUCUCCGUUCUCAAGUUGAUGAAGCUGUAGCUGUACUACAAGCCCACCGAGCUAAAGAGGCUGCCCAGAAAGCAGCUAACAGUGCCACUGGUAUUCCAACUGUUUAA
Leptonychotes weddellii (Weddell seal) is the source of this 1149-nucleotide non-coding RNA. The record is from RefSeq and is a predicted model, not a curated record. Lineage: Eukaryota; Metazoa; Chordata; Mammalia; Carnivora; Phocidae.